CAUUACCGAGUUUACAACUCCCAAACCCAUUGUGAACUUAUACCCAAAACGUUGCCUCGGCGGACACAGCGGUACCCGAGCCCCCGCAAGGGAGCAAAGGCGCCCCGUCCGCCAGGGGACCAAAACUCUUCUGUAUACCCAUAGCGGCAUGUCUGAGUGGAUUUAAAACAAAUGAAUCAAAACUUUCAACAACGGAUCUCUUGGUUCUGGCAUCGAUGAAGAACGCAGCGAAAUGCGAUACGUAAUGUGAAUUGCAGACUUCAGUGAAUCAUCGAAUCUUUGAACGCACAUUGCGCCCGCCAGUAUUCUGGCGGGCAUGCCUGUUCGAGCGUCAUUUCAACCCUCAAGCCCUGCUUGGUGUUGGGGACCGGCUCAGCGGGUGCGGGCUUCGGCCCGCCCCGUGCCGCCCCCGAAAUGGAUCGGCGGUCUCGUCGCAGCCUUCUUUGCGUAGUAACAUACCACCUCGCAACAGGAGCGCGGCGCGGCCACUGCCGUAAAACGCCCAACUUUUUAGAGUUGACCUCGAAUCA
This 530-nucleotide small RNA is filed under the name Claviceps purpurea (ergot fungus). RNAcentral's name for it is "eukaryotic LSU rRNA". The stretch from base 181 to 334 matches the Rfam family "5.8S ribosomal RNA". The record is from RNAcentral. Lineage: Eukaryota; Fungi; Ascomycota; Sordariomycetes; Hypocreales; Clavicipitaceae.